UACGAAGGGUGCAAGCGUUACUCGGAAUUACUGGGCGUAAAGCGUGCGUAGGUGGUUUGUUAAGUCUGAUGUGAAAGCCCUGGGCUUAACCUGGGAAUGGCAUUGGAAACUGGCUGACUAGAGUGCGGUAGAGGGUAGUGGAAUUCCCGGUGUAGCAGUGAAAUGCGUAGAUAUCGGGAGGAACAUCUGUGGCGAAGGCGACUACCUGGACCAGCACUGACACUGAGGCACGAAAGCGUGGGGAGCAAACAGG
This 253-nucleotide ribosomal RNA is filed under the name uncultured bacterium. RNAcentral describes it as "partial 16S ribosomal RNA". It matches the Rfam family "Bacterial small subunit ribosomal RNA", at positions 524 to 776 of the family's 1533-position model. The record is from RNAcentral.